AGUUUAAUUUGAUCAUGGCUCAGAGUGCCACGCUGGUAGUAGGCCUAACACAUGCAAGUCGAACGGCAGCACAGGAGAGCUUGCUCUCUGGGUGGCGAGUGGCGGACGGGUGAGGAAUACAUCGGAAUCUACUCUGUCGUGGGGGAUAACGUAGGGAAACUUACGCUAAUACCGCAUACGACCUACGGGUGAAAGCAGGGGAUCUUCGGACCUUGCGCGAUUGAAUGAGCCGAUGUCGGAUUAGCUAGUUGGCGGGGUAAAGGCCCACCAAGGCGACGAUCCGUAGCUGGUCUGAGAGGAUGAUCAGCCACACUGGAACUGAGACACGGUCCAGACUCCUACGGGAGGCAGCAGUGGGGAAUAUUGGACAAUGGGCGCAAGCCUGAUCCAGCCAUACCGCGUGGGUGAAGAAGGCCUUCGGGUUGUAAAGCCCUUUUGUUGGGAAAGAAAUCCAGCUGGCUAAUACCUGGUUGGGAUGACGGUACCCAAAGAAUAAGCACCGGCUAACUUCGUGCCAGCAGCCGCGGUAAUACGAAGGGUGCAAGCGUUACUCGGAAUUACUGGGGCGUNAAGCGUGCGUAGAGUGGGUCAGUUUAAGUCCGUUGUUGAAAAGCCCUGGGCUCACCUGGUGAACUGCAGUGGAUACUGGGCGACUAGAGUGUGGUGAGGGUAGC
This 674-nucleotide ribosomal RNA is filed under the name uncultured bacterium. RNAcentral describes it as "bacterial SSU rRNA". It matches the Rfam family "Bacterial small subunit ribosomal RNA", at positions 1 to 661 of the family's 1533-position model. The record is from RNAcentral.